The sequence is a small RNA, 63 nucleotides long. It matches the Rfam family "Mycobacterium sRNA Ms_IGR-8". The record is from Rfam.
CGUCAUAGACACCGCGAGUGUGAAACCUCUGCGAAAAAUCGGCAGAUUUCUCGCAGAGGUUUC